This 117-nucleotide ribosomal RNA is filed under the name Escherichia coli. RNAcentral describes it as "partial 23S ribosomal RNA". It matches the Rfam family "Bacterial large subunit ribosomal RNA", at positions 1 to 116 of the family's 2925-position model. Lineage: Bacteria; Pseudomonadati; Pseudomonadota; Gammaproteobacteria; Enterobacterales; Enterobacteriaceae. RNAcentral also lists the same sequence under 1 other name. The record is from RNAcentral.
GGUUAAGCGACUAAGCGUACACGGUGGAUGCCCUGGCAGUCAGAGGCGAUGAAGGACGUGCUAAUCUGCGAUAAGCGUCGGUAAGGUGAUAUGAACCGUUAUAACCGGCGAUUUCCG